CCCUCUCAAACUGUGCCAAACAUCUCUUUCCUCCCUUAGGUUGCUUCUAUCAGGUGCUAUGUCACAAUGACAAGAAACUAAUAGAGACACUGGAGGAAAGCCACAAUCAGGGAAGCCUGACCUGUCAUUCCAGACUCUUUAACAGUGCUAGAUGCUGCUGCCGCCACUACAUCCUGCCCUACUCACUGAGGCUGCCUGGGAAGGAAAGGGACACACGGCGAAGACGUAUCUAAAAGCACGAAAGCAUGGAGAGGGGCUGGGAGACUGGGAAGCCCGGCUUGUGCUCCUCAGACACAUCCCACUGCAGGGGCUUCGCACCACAGGUCCACCGCCAGUCACUGAUCUCACGCUUAGCUUAAGCUCACCGACUGAAGGAAGCCCUGUGGGACCCGAGGACAGGGAAGACACUGUGGUUCUGGUUUUCUAGACAGAUGAUAAGACUACAACAGCGAUUAAGUUGUCUGGGAAGAAAUUCUUGUCCAUCAGGCAUUCGAAAUGUGAGCCUAAAUACAGACGAUCCCACGGGCUCUCGCUGUAAUAACAGGGGUCAUGGGUGCAGAGACAGCAACCACACCACACAAAAAUGUUCCCGUAAAACAGACUGCCACCUUUCCCCCAAACCAAUGGCAGAGACCUGUGGAGAAAAUGUGCAUUUUCUAAGGAGCUAACAGCAGGGUAACAAGCUUAUUGUCCACAACUGUUGACCACUAAGUGGAGCCCACGCCACCACCCACUAUCUGAUGGGAAGCUCUUAUCAUAUACAAUCUAAAUAAAGACCAAAAUACUGUGA
Molecule: long non-coding RNA, 790 nt
Organism: Mesocricetus auratus (golden hamster)
Lineage: Eukaryota; Metazoa; Chordata; Mammalia; Rodentia; Cricetidae
Exons: 2
Source: RefSeq, a predicted model, not a curated record